GAGAGUUAAACAGUACGUGAAAUUGUUGAAAGGGAAACGAUUGAAGCCAGUCGUACCUUCGGGUAAUCAGCCUUUCGGGUGCGAUUCUGUGGAGUGUGAGGAGCUUAAACACCUUCAUGUUUUGCAUAUUCGUACUCUUGGGUGUACUUGCCCGUGUGGUUGGUUAACAUCAAUUUUGGUGGUCAUAAAAUGACUGGAGGAAUGUAGCUUCGAUCUCGUAUUGAAGUGUUAUAGCCUUCGGUAGAUGUGAUGAUCGAGAUUGAGGAUUGCAACGGAUACCCUUCGGGGCUACCUGUCUGAUCUCUGAUCGUUGCUCUGGUGCCGAAAGCUUGCUUACGGUUAUCGAAGUCGAUGGUCAAUAGGUUAGAACGGGUUAAAUUCGUUAAGGAUGUUGACGUAAUGGCUUUAAACGA
RNAcentral lists this ribosomal RNA (413 nucleotides) under uncultured Rhizophagus. RNAcentral describes it as "partial 28S ribosomal RNA". Lineage: Eukaryota; Fungi; Glomeromycota; Glomeromycetes; Glomerales; Glomeraceae. The record is from RNAcentral.